AAAGUCUGAUGGAGCAACGCCGCGUGAGUGAAGAAGGGUUUCGGCUCGUAAAACUCUGUUGUUAAAGAAGAACAUAUCUGAGAGUAACUGUUCAGGUAUUGACGGUAUUUAACCAGAAAGCCACGGCUAACUACGUGCCAGCAGCCGCGGUAAUACGUAGGUGGCAAGCGUUGUCCGGAUUUAUUGGGCGUAAAGCGAGCGCAGGCGGUUUUUUAAGUCUGAUGUGAAAGCCUUCGGCUCAACCGAAGAAGUGCAUCGGAAACUGGGGAACUUGAGUGCAGAAGAGGACAGUGGAACUCCAUGUGUAGCGGUGAAAUGCGUAGAUAUAUGGAAGAACACCAGUGGCGAAGGCGGCUGUCUGGUCUGUAACUGACGCUGAGGCUCGAAAGUAUGGGUAGCAAACAGGAUUAGAUACCCUGGUAGUCCAUACCGUAAACGAUGAAUGCUAAGUGUUGGAGGGUUUCCGCCCUUCAGUGCUGCAGCUAACGCAUGAAGCAUUCCGCCUGGGGAGUACGGCCGCAAGGCUGAAACUCAAAGGAAUUGACGGGGGCCCGCACAAGCGGUGGAGCAUGUGGUUUAAUUCGAAGCUACGCGAAGAACCUUACCAGGUCUUGA
Molecule: ribosomal RNA, 615 nt
Filed under: Lactiplantibacillus plantarum
Lineage: Bacteria; Bacillati; Bacillota; Bacilli; Lactobacillales; Lactobacillaceae
Description: bacterial SSU rRNA
Rfam family: Bacterial small subunit ribosomal RNA
Source: RNAcentral